AAGGUGCUUGCACCUUUGCUGUCGAGCGGCGGACGGGUGAGUAAUGCCUAGAUAUCUGCCUAGUCGUGGGGGAUAACAGUUGGAAACGACUGCUAAUACCGCAUACGCCCUACGGGGGAAAGGAGGGGACCUUCGGGCCUUUCGCGAUUAGAUGAGUCUAGGUGGGAUUAGCUAGUAGGUAAGGUAAUGGCUUACCUAGGCGACGAUCCCUAGCUGUUCUGAGAGGAUGAUCAGCCACACUGGGACUGAGACACGGCCCAGACUCCUACGGGAGGCAGCAGUGGGGAAUAUUGCACAAUGGGGGAAACCCUGAUGCAGCCAUGCCGCGUGUGUGAAGAAGGCCUUCGGGUUGUAAAGCACUUUCAGCGAGGAGGAAAGGGUAGUAGUUAAUAACUGCUAUCUGUGACGUUACUCGCAGAAGAAGCACCGGCUAACUUCGUGCCAGCAGCCGCGGUAAUACGAGGGGUGCAAGCGUUAAUCGGAAUUACUGGGCGUAAAGCGUACGCAGGCGGUUUGUUAAGCAAGAUGUGAAAGCCCCGGGCUCAACCUGGGAAUUGCAUUUUGAACUGGCAAACUAGAGUCUUGUAGAGGGGGGUAGAAU
Molecule: ribosomal RNA, 601 nt
Filed under: bacterium 4873K4-B24
Lineage: Bacteria
Description: bacterial SSU rRNA
Rfam family: Bacterial small subunit ribosomal RNA
Source: RNAcentral